CCCAGAUCAGGGCCAGAACUGGACCUCAGCUGCCCUGUGGCUCAGCCCUGCUGCUCCUGCUUCUCCUGGAGGAGCCCGAGCUGCUCCGGUCUCUUCUGCCUCUCCUCUCCCCUCAGUCCAUCGCCCGUGGCUCUUUGCAGCUGCAAAGGCAGGCAGGUGGGCUGCAAAGAGCCCCAUGGCACCAUCGGGGGUGAUGCAAGUGCAGGCAAAAGGUCAAAGCAAGGAAAAAGCGAGCAUCGUUUGCUCCUGGGAGGCAUUGCCUCGCUGGGUGCCCGAGGCCAGGUGGACAGUCAGGUCCUUCCCAGCACAGCCCAGCAUCCCAAAGACAUCCCUCCCCUACUGCUCCCCCCAAAAGCUGCCACCGCCGAGCCACCUAAUGAAAUCCUCCUUGCCUGUGCAUGCUAUAUUAGGGUUUCCAUGGAUAUGGUACCACAAACACUGGGCUGUGGCUUUGUUAUAUAAACAGGAGAGAUUGCCACAGACACCCAAAAUAUCUGAAAGGACAGGAAGAGACAAAGGCGGGCUCCGGGUACAUCCUUGGCCCUGGUGGGGAGCAGGACCGAUGGUGGUGGAGACGUGCCGUCUUCUGCUCUGCCAGAGCUGCCCACACCCAACCCAGCUCAGCAAGACCGUCCAGCUCAUCCUGUGCCGUCUCAGAACCGGUGUUUGUUUGUCAGACGCACAACGCCCUGCACGGCCCUUCUGCAUCACCUGUCAGCCUUCAUUUUGCAGCGCUUGCCUUAACAUCCGUGCGGUGACCCCUUGCCUCUCUGGAGCGGUUUUCUUUGAGCUGGUCGGGAACAGGAGCAAAAGGAGCUGA
This 820-nucleotide long non-coding RNA is filed under the name Anser brachyrhynchus (Pink-footed goose). Its description in RNAcentral is "lncRNA (ENSABRG00000021659.1)". The record is from RNAcentral. Lineage: Eukaryota; Metazoa; Chordata; Aves; Anseriformes; Anatidae.